GUUGUAUGGUUAAGUGACUAAGCGUACACGGUGGAUGCCUUGGCAGUUGGAGGCGAUGAAGGACGUAUUAACUUGCGAUAAGCCUAGUCAAGCUAGUAAAAAGCGCUUGAGACUAGGAUUUCCGAAUGGGGAAACCCACCUGCUUGCAGGUAUCGUUAACUGAAUACAUAGGUUAACGAGGCGAACGCGGAGAACUGAAACAUCUAAGUACCCGUAGGAAAAGAAAUCAACCGAGAUUCCGAUAGUAGCGGCGAGCGAAAUCGGAACAGCCCUUAAGCUUAUUAUGUGUUAAUGGAAGGCUCUGGAAAGUGCCACGAUACAGGGUGAUAGUCCCGUACAUGAAAAGACAUUUUAAGUGAAAUCGAGUAGGUCGGAGCACGUGAAACUUUGACUGAAUAUAGGUGGACCAUCAUCUAAGGCUAAAUACUCCCAACUGACCGAUAGUGAACCAGUACCGUGAGGGAAAGGCGAAAAGAACCCCUGUGAGGGGAGUGAAAUAGAACCUGAAACCGUGUACGUACAAGCAGUAGGAGCCUACUUGUUAGGUGACUGCGUACCUUUUGUAUAAUGGGUCAGCGACUUAUAUUUUGUAGCGAGGUUAACCGAUUAGGGUAGCCGUAGGGAAACCGAGUCUUAACU
Molecule: ribosomal RNA, 639 nt
Filed under: Pseudoalteromonas sp. S983
Lineage: Bacteria; Pseudomonadati; Pseudomonadota; Gammaproteobacteria; Alteromonadales; Pseudoalteromonadaceae
Description: partial 23S ribosomal RNA
Rfam family: Bacterial large subunit ribosomal RNA
Source: RNAcentral